AUGGCCACGCUGGCAGCAUGGUGUGGGGCAAACCCUGUCCUGUGGGUGAUGGCCACCCCCCAGCUCGUCCCCAUGUCCUGGCCGCUGCCUCAUUGCAGGAGGGCUCCCAGGGGCUGCGGGCUCGCUGCUCCGCUCCCCAUCAGCUGCAGGAUUUAUAGGGGCACGUCAGGAUCCCCCGCCAAGUUUCAUUACUACACAUGCUCUCGUUUAAGGCUGGCAGUAAAGCACAGCAGUCACAGUUUACUCCGACAGGCGGGGGCUGAUGUCCCCAGCACACCGAGCUGGGCUCCCAGGGAGGCUCUCAGCUGCUGUCUGCCCCUCGGUGCUGGGGCCAGGCCGGGCAGCUGGGGCCAGCAGUUUGGGGACGCGCAGCACCUGCGUCCCCAGAGCCACCAAAGUGCUGUGCUCCCAUGGCGAACAAUCAGCCGCGGGUGCUCACCAGCCCCUGGGCCUCGGGGAGGAGCAGGCGAGCCUUUAGAGUCUCCCUGGAAUAUUUACUAUUGCUUUUAAUUGAUGAAAAUGGGUGAGGCUAAAUACAGAGCUCUGACGACGUUUAUUGUGCACCUCCUACCAGCACGGGGACGGCGAGGAGUCACUGGGACAGAGCCGGUGAUGGAAGGAUAAUUAAUAACCACUUCCAUGCCCAUGAAUGAUGCCCUUGCCAGGGAAGGAGAAUAUUUUCAGGCUGGAAGUUGGUGCUGUGAGCUCUGGAGAGGGAAGGGCCAGCACCCCUUGGUCACCCUGCAGUGACCCCCCCCGAGACAGUGCCCAGACCCCACUGUGCCAGGCAUGGUGGCUCCUUCCCGUGGGUCACAGCAGGAUGGCCCCAGCUGUUUGAGUCCCCUCCCUGGCUCGUUUGCCCUCAAAUUCAACCCGCGCAGCCCCUCAGGUGCUGGGGUCUCUGUAGGAAACUUGCUGAGCACUUGCAACUGCUCUGCUAUGAAAGCGGUGGUGGCGUUCUGCCUUUUUUUCCUUUGCUUUUGUUCCUCCCCUUCUCACUUCAAAUCUUCCUUUGAAACCAAAACUUCCUGUAGUCUGAAAUGGACAAUCAGGCCGCUCCAGCAGCUGCAGCCCGAGAGCUUCAGCUCUUGGCAGGAGGAUGAGAACUGCAAAACUAUUUCUUUGAGGCAAAUUAUGCAUUCAUCUAGCUCAUUUGAAACAAAAUAUGAUUUGCAAUUUAACUUUCCAUAAUGAGCUCCUGCUAUUAUACAGUUUCCAUAAUGGCUGGUUUCAUUGGAACAGAUUGUUGGUGCACAUGGUUUACAAAACAUUUUCAAUGCAAGCCCCGUUUUUUCUUAUUUUA
Molecule: long non-coding RNA, 1303 nt
Filed under: Cairina moschata (Muscovy duck)
Lineage: Eukaryota; Metazoa; Chordata; Aves; Anseriformes; Anatidae
Description: domestica (muscovy Duck (domestic type)) lncRNA (ENSCMMG00000008288.1)
Source: RNAcentral